This 79-nucleotide transfer RNA is filed under the name Trichosporon ovoides. RNAcentral's name for it is "tRNA-Phe". Lineage: Eukaryota; Fungi; Basidiomycota; Tremellomycetes; Trichosporonales; Trichosporonaceae. The record is from RNAcentral. RNAcentral also lists the same sequence under 2 other names.
GGGAUGAUAGCUCAGUUGGGAGAGCGCGAGAGUGAAGCUUCAGUUCUUGAGGUCGGGCGUUCGAUCCGCCCUCGUCCCA